This 468-nucleotide ribosomal RNA is filed under the name uncultured bacterium. RNAcentral describes it as "partial 16S ribosomal RNA". It matches the Rfam family "Bacterial small subunit ribosomal RNA", at positions 28 to 507 of the family's 1533-position model. The record is from RNAcentral.
GACGAACGCUGGCGGCGUGCUUAACACAUGCAAGUCGAACGGAAAGGCCCUGCUUUUGUGGGGUGCUCGAGUGGCGAACGGGUGAGUAACACGUGAGUAACCUGCCCUUGACUUUGGGAUAACUUCAGGAAACUGGGGCUAAUACCGGAUAGGAGCUCCUGCUGCAUGGUGGGGGUUGGAAAGUUUCGGCGGUUGGGGAUGGACUCGCGGCUUAUCAGCUUGUUGGUGGGGUAGUGGCUUACCAAGGCUUUGACGGGUGGCCGGCCUGAGAGGGUGACCGGCCACAUUGGGACUGAGAUACGGCCCAGACUCCUACGGGAGGCAGCAGUGGGGAAUAUUGCACAAUGGGCGGAAGCCUGAUGCAGCAACGCCGCGUGCGGGAUGACGGCCUUCGGGUUGUAAACCGCUUUCGCCUGUGACGAAGCGUGAGUGACGGUAAUGGGUAAAGAAGCAUCGGCUAACUACGUG